AACACAUGCAAGUCGAGCGGAUGAAGGGAGCUUGCUCCUGGAUUCAGCGGCGGACGGGUGAGUAAUGCCUAGGAAUCUGCCUGGUAGUGGGGGAUAACGUUCCGAAAGGAACGCUAAUACCGCGUACGUCCUACGGGAGAAAGCAGGGGACCUUCGGGCCUUGCGCUAUCAGAUGAGCCUAGGUCGGAUUAGCUAGUUGGUGAGGUAAUGGCUCACCAAGGCGACGAUCCGUAACUGGUCUGAGAGGAUGAUCAGUCACACUGGAACUGAGACACGGUCCAGACUCCUACGGGAGGCAGCAGUGGGGAAUAUUGGACAAUGGGCGAAAGCCUGAUCCAGCCAUGCCGCGUGUGUGAAGAAGGUCUUCGGAUUGUAAAGCACUUUAAGUUGGGAGGAAGGGCUGUAGGCUAAUAUCCUGCGGUUUUGACGUUACCAACAGAAUAAGCACCGGCUAACUUCGUGCCAGCAGCCGCGGUAAUACGAAGGGUGCAAGCGUUAAUCGGAAUUACUGGGCGUAAAGCGCGCGUAGGUGGUUCGUUAAGUUGGAUGUGAAAGCCCCGGGCUCAACCUGGGAACUGCAUCCAAAACUGGCGAGCUAGAGUACGGUAGAGGG
This 613-nucleotide ribosomal RNA is filed under the name Pseudomonas sp. B25. Its description in RNAcentral is "bacterial SSU rRNA". It matches the Rfam family "Bacterial small subunit ribosomal RNA", at positions 50 to 658 of the family's 1533-position model. The record is from RNAcentral. Lineage: Bacteria; Pseudomonadati; Pseudomonadota; Gammaproteobacteria; Pseudomonadales; Pseudomonadaceae.